This 400-nucleotide ribosomal RNA is filed under the name uncultured bacterium. RNAcentral describes it as "bacterial SSU rRNA". It matches the Rfam family "Bacterial small subunit ribosomal RNA", at positions 355 to 747 of the family's 1533-position model. The record is from RNAcentral.
UGGGGAAUUUUGCACAAUGGGCGCAAGCCUGAUGCAGCGACGCCGCGUGGAGGAUGAAGGUUUUCGGAUUGUAAACUCCUGUUAAGUGGGAAGAAAGACUCCUAUCUAAUAAAUAGGGGGGAUGACGGUACCACUAGAGAAAGCACCGGCAAACUUCGUGCCAGCAGCCGCGGUAAUACGAAGGGUGCGAGCGUUAUUCGGAAUGACUGGGCGUAAAGAGCUUGAAGGCGGUCUAUUAAGUCGUCUGUUAAAGAGCCUAGCUUAACUGGGCAAGUGCGGAUGAAACUGAUGGACUAGAGUACAGAAGAGAAAGGUAGAAUUCUCGGAGUAGCGGUAAAAUGCGUAGAUCUCGAGAGGAAUACCGGUUGCGAAGGCGGCCUUUUGGUCUGUUACUGACGCU